Molecule: ribosomal RNA, 442 nt
Filed under: uncultured bacterium
Lineage: Bacteria
Description: bacterial SSU rRNA
Rfam family: Bacterial small subunit ribosomal RNA
Source: RNAcentral
AACGCGAAGAACCUUACCAGGUCUUGACAUCCCUCUGAACACAUUAGAGAUAGUGUGGGCCUUCGGGACAGAGGAGACAGGUGGUGCAUGGUUGUCGUCAGCUCGUGUCGUGAGAUGUUGGGUUAAGUCCCGCAACGAGCGCAACCCUUGGAUUUAGUUGCCAGCACAUGAAGGUGGGCACUCUAGAUCGACUGCCGGUGACAAACCGGAGGAAGGCGGGGAUGACGUCAAAUCAUCAUGCCCCUUAUGACCUGGGCUACACACGUACUACAAUGGCCGGUACAACGGGCUGCGAAACCGCGAGGUGGAGCGAAUCCUAUAAAAGCCGGUCUCAGUUCGGAUUGCAGGCUGCAACUCGCCUGCAUGAAGUCGGAAUUGCUAGUAAUCGCGGAUCAGCAUGCCGCGGUGAAUACGUUCCCGGGCCUUGUACACACCGCGCAUA